CCUACGGGAGGCAGCAGUAAGGAAUAUUGGACAAUGGCCGAAAGGCUGAUCCAGCCAUGCCGCGUGCAGGAUGAAGGUGCUCUGCAUUGUAAACUGCUUUUGUUCGGGAAUAAACCCCUCUACGUGUAGAGGGCUGAAUGUACCGAAAGAAUAAGGGACGGCUAACUUCGUGCCAGCAGCCGCGGUAAUACGAAGGUCCCAAGCGUUAUCCGGAUUUAUUGGGUUUAAAGGGUGCGUAGGCGGGUUGUUAAGUCAGUGGUGAAAGCCGGCAGCUCAACUGUCGAAUUGCCAUUGAUACUGACGAUCUUGAAUGUGGUUGAGGUGGGCGGAAUGUAUCAUGUAGCGGUGAAAUGCUUAGAUAUGAUACAGAACACCGAUUGCGAAGGCAGCUCACUAAGUCACUAUUGACGCUGAGGCACGAAAGCGUGGGGAGCAAACAGGAUUAGAUACCCGAGUAGUC
This 460-nucleotide ribosomal RNA is filed under the name uncultured bacterium. RNAcentral describes it as "bacterial SSU rRNA". It matches the Rfam family "Bacterial small subunit ribosomal RNA", at positions 338 to 795 of the family's 1533-position model. The record is from RNAcentral.